Molecule: transfer RNA, 74 nt
Filed under: Muribaculaceae bacterium
Lineage: Bacteria; Pseudomonadati; Bacteroidota; Bacteroidia; Bacteroidales; Muribaculaceae
Description: tRNA-His
Rfam family: tRNA
About the family: Transfer RNA (tRNA) molecules are approximately 80 nucleotides in length. Their secondary structure includes four short double-helical elements and three loops (D, anti-codon, and T loops). Further hydrogen bonds mediate the characteristic L-shaped molecular structure. tRNAs have two regions of fundamental functional importance: the anti-codon, which is responsible for specific mRNA codon recognition, and the 3' end, to which the tRNAs corresponding amino acid is attached (by aminoacyl-tRNA synthetases). tRNAs cope with the degeneracy of the genetic code in two manners: having more than one tRNA (with a specific anti-codon) for a particular amino acid; and 'wobble' base-pairing, i.e. permitting non-standard base-pairing at the 3rd anti-codon position.
Source: RNAcentral
CAUAGCUCAGUUGGUUAGAGCGUCGGAUUGUGGUUCCGAAGGUCGUGGGUUCGACCCCCACUGUUCACCCUCCA